RNAcentral lists this long non-coding RNA (1436 nucleotides) under Volvox carteri. Its description in RNAcentral is "long non-coding RNA (VCAR_LNC002450)". Lineage: Eukaryota; Viridiplantae; Chlorophyta; Chlorophyceae; Chlamydomonadales; Volvocaceae. The record is from RNAcentral.
GGACACGUUACAAGAUCUGCGGUGGUCCUGGGCGCCAUUGGAUACUUUACUGCAACGUUAUUCACACGAAGCAUGCAUCCUGUGGAGCCUUCGUUCUCUUCACAAGUUUGGGCCACCACACGGGCGCUGUUGGUCGUUGAUGCGGCCGAAGCGACAUGCGGCCACCGGUUGAUGGCUAGUAAGGGCUAGUAAGUCUAUCCCCGGGUCGUCGGCAAUCUCGUAACCGACCUUUGUCCUCGGUACCUAGGGCCCCUUAUUGUCCUUUCUUGAGGUGACACACACAGGCACACACACACACAGGCACACACACACACACACACACACACAUCACACACAAACACCCUUUGGCCAGGCUGCAACCUUUUUUGGCCCGCAAAUCAUAAAACCCUUAAGCCAAAAACGGGCAGGUGCAGUUUGUCUAUUGCACCUGCAUACACAUAUAUACACAUACAGAUAUACCUACAUAUUUACAUUCGCAUUACAACCAACUUUUCAAGAACACAGGGCAAGGCAAGCUGUUACAUGAUGUUGUACCGGCCAGUAGUAACAUGUGGGCCCCCACUGCCGAUGUCCGAAAUGCAAAGGGACGCGCAUGGGAGCUAGCUUGGGUGUAUUUCGGAGCAGCAGAGUCUAAGAUUAUGAGGUGAGGGCCCCUCAGCAGCCGAAAGCCAAAGGGUGCACAAGCUUGUGGGUUGCGGAGGGCCAAUCUCGGACCGGGUUGCGACUGGGGGUUGCUUGUUGCUGGUCGGAUAGCAGUAGGCCGUCGAUCUGCGGGUGGCCGCAUGUCCCACGUGAGGUACGUCCUCCUUUUGCGCGGUCUAUCCAUUUUGAGCCUCUGAAACUGCAGGUCGUGGUUGCAAUGCCCACCGGACUUGUGGAAUUGUGGGUAAUUCAAGGGAAUGGUCAGACGGGGAGGGAGGGAGGGAUGGCCGCGCUAGGAGCGCGGCUGUAACGUCGAGUGGUUUCGAGCGCUAUUGGUUUUAACAGCACAGCAGCAACGUGCGUGGUUCCAAUGCAAGUGGCUUGUCGAGGUGUGAAAUAUUGGUGAUGGGAAAUAUGCAGACGCCACAACUGGAAUUGUUAGACCUACAAAAGAUCAGCACUAUAUCAGUUAUGUAUAUAUGUGAGGGUUACGUGCGCAAGAUGAGGAGUCGGGUAGCCCACGAGAAACAUGUGGUUUCUCUUGGGAUGUCCACCUUCUGCCCACUCCGGCAAGUCCAUUACAUAGAAGCUUUCUUAAAGUCCAUUCCAUAAACUUAUGUACAAGGAGCGAGACGCAAUUGCAGCGCUAGGAUGCGCUUAGGUACCGCAUGUUAGGCGAGACGACGUAGCGAAAGAUCGUAAUCAGCGGAACAAUAAGUCUUGCAGCACGUAGCUUAAUAUGUAUGGAAUGUAUAUAUUGCAUCCAUGCCGUUUCAGCGUGGUCACCAUGUCUA